RNAcentral lists this long non-coding RNA (1528 nucleotides) under Pan troglodytes (chimpanzee). RNAcentral describes it as "long non-coding RNA NONPTRT009085". Lineage: Eukaryota; Metazoa; Chordata; Mammalia; Primates; Hominidae. The record is from RNAcentral.
UUGGGGACUGCUGGGGUGCCAGUAGGAAGGAGCUGGACAGGCCAUUUGGAUGAUCUUGGGGCCUCCAGCCUUUACAGAAGGGCCACACCUGUUCAGUGUUUUCCAUUUCAGCUCUGGAGUUGGGUCCACUUCCAGGUAGAGAGUAGGGAGAGAGAGGACAGGGAAUGAAAUAGGAAAAACACCAGAAACCGAGAAUGGGAAAGUCAGAGACAAAAUAAAUUUUACAAAAGCCAAGACAGAGAAAAGGUGUUUGCUUUCCAGACAAAUUAUUUCAUUUCAUCUUUACAACCUUGGGAGGUAGUUUCUGUUUACUCCAAAUUGACAGAUGAGGAAACUGAGGGCAAAUGCAGUGCUUCUCAAAGUAUAGUUCAAGAGCCAGCCUGGGAGGUCACAGGAUGAAAGGUUUUGGAGAGGAUAGUGGUUAAAACGCAGAUUCUCUCACCCCAUCCUGGACCUAUAGAAUCUGAUUCUCUCCGGUGGAACCAGGACUCUGCAUUUAGCCAGUUCCCCAGGAGAAAUUUCUAUAAAGUUUGAGAAUAUCCACAGUCAGGAGGGUUGCCCUGUGCUAUGCUGAAGUUUAUGCAGCACAUAAACUCAGAGCCAGGAUUUAGGACCCAGAAGGGACCAAGAUAGAGAGGAAAGUGACAAAGAGAAGCUUUUCAAAGCAAGACAGAUAUGCCUCAGAAGAGAUGGCAAAGAGCAAGAGAGAGAAAUAAGACUGACAGAGACACAUUGGGAGAAGUCCUCUGAGCUAAGAGAAGGAGGAAUCUGGUAGGACCAGCGUGUACUUUUAUUGAUUAUGGAUUGCCUAUCACUGUAAACACAGCCCUCACUUAAUCCUCACAGCAGUCUGAUGAGGUAGGUCCUAUUGCUCCCGUUUGCUGGAUAAGGAAACUGAGGCAAGGAGAACAAAGGGGAAGAGCCUAGCUUUGACCCCCGGUGGCCUGGCUUUGGAAGGGGUCACAGCUUUAACCACCAGGCUAGGCUGCCUCCUAAGCAGAAAGCUCAGGGACUCAGACUUAGACUCCAAAUUUUUCUCCAUCGCCCUACCUGUGUGACUCUGGGAAGCUUUCUGUGCCUCAGUUGCCUCACCUGCAAAAUGGUGAUAACAAUACCUGUGUCAAGGAGUUCCUGUGGGGCCUUGUCUGAGACGGUACAAGAGCGCAGAGCAGUACCUAGUGCUAGAAGUGCUCCGUAACAGUUAGCUGUCAGUAAAUACCUAGAAAGUCCAGGAAACACAUAAAAGUUUCUCACAAAUGGUGGGUUUCUUGAGGCCUCUUUGCCCUGAACUGGGGCAAAGGAUGGUGUCUUAGUCCAUGUUAUGCUGCUAUAAUAGGAUGCUGCAGACUGGGUAAUUUAUAAUGAAUAGAAAUUUAUCUGGCUAUGAUUCUAGAGACUGGGAAGUCCAAGAGCAUGGAGCUGGCAUCUGGAGAGGGCCCUUGGGCUGCAUCAUCCCAUAGUGGAAGGCAAAAGGAAAACUUCUACUCAUCCAGCAAGACCCAUCUCAGAAGUCACCUUCUCUGUGAAG